RNAcentral lists this microRNA precursor (98 nucleotides) under Otolemur garnettii (small-eared galago). RNAcentral describes it as "miRNA (ENSOGAG00000028580.1)". Lineage: Eukaryota; Metazoa; Chordata; Mammalia; Primates; Galagidae. The record is from RNAcentral.
AGGUGGGAGGAUUGCUUGAGCCCAGGAGAUGGAGGCUGCAGUGAGGUAUGAUAGGUCAGUGCACACCAGCCUGGGCAACAGAAGGAGACCCUUGUCUC